This 92-nucleotide transfer RNA is filed under the name Kitasatospora phosalacinea. Its description in RNAcentral is "tRNA-Leu". Lineage: Bacteria; Bacillati; Actinomycetota; Actinomycetes; Kitasatosporales; Streptomycetaceae. The record is from RNAcentral.
CGCACGGUGGACGACGCGGUCGACGCACUCGGCGCCCAGAUCGCCGCGGCCGGUGGCCCGGCCGGUGCGCCGGUCGCUGCGGCCGGUGCCCC